This 497-nucleotide ribosomal RNA is filed under the name uncultured bacterium. Its description in RNAcentral is "partial 16S ribosomal RNA". It matches the Rfam family "Bacterial small subunit ribosomal RNA", at positions 28 to 507 of the family's 1533-position model. The record is from RNAcentral.
GAUGAACGCUGGCGGCGUGCCUAAUACAUGCAAGUCGAGCGAACAGACGAGGAGCUUGCUCCUUUGACGUUAGCGGCGGACGGGUGAGUAACACGUGGAUAACCUACCUAUAAGACUGGGAUAACUUCGGGAAACCGGAGCUAAUACCGGAUAAUAUAUUGAACCGCAUGGUUCAAUAGUGAAAGACGGUUUUGCUGUCACUUAUAGAUGGAUCCGCGCCGCAUUAGCUAGUUGGUAAGGUAACGGCUUACCAAGGCAACGAUGCGUAGCCGACCUGAGAGGGUGAUCGGCCACACUGGAACUGAGACACGGUCCAGACUCCUACGGGAGGCAGCAGUAGGGAAUCUUCCGCAAUGGGCGAAAGCUUGACGGAGCAACGCCGCGUGAGUGAUGAAGGUCUUCGGAUCGUAAAACUCUGUUAUUAGGGAAGAACAAAUGUGUAAGUAACUAUGCACGUCUUGACGGUACCUAAUCAGAAAGCAACGGCUAACUACGUG